UUACGGUCAAAUCACGCUGAAACACCGGUUCUCGUACGGUCACCGAAGUUAAGCAGCGUAGAGCCAGGUCAGUACUUAGAUGGGGGACCGCUUGGGAACACCUGGUACUGUAAG
Molecule: ribosomal RNA, 114 nt
Filed under: Acanthosepion pharaonis
Lineage: Eukaryota; Metazoa; Mollusca; Cephalopoda; Sepiida; Sepiidae
Source: RNAcentral